RNA transcript from Sapajus apella (tufted capuchin), 1609 nucleotides. It is a transcript of the gene named DNA fragmentation factor subunit beta, with no coding region annotated. The transcript has 8 exons. The record is from RefSeq and is a predicted model, not a curated record. Lineage: Eukaryota; Metazoa; Chordata; Mammalia; Primates; Cebidae.
UGGGUAAUGUAGUUUCCUGGAUCGGCGCCUGGCCAGUGCCAGCUUUGCAGAACCCGCCCGGUGCAGACCCCUGCGGCCGGGGCGAGGAGGUGCCUGAGCAGCCGGCCAGAGGGUGCCGCCACCUGCGGGGCCCAGCGGCCUGCAGGACAUCUGCAAUGCUCCAGAAGCCCAAGACCGUGAAGCUGCGGGCCCUGCGCAGCCCGAGGAAGUUCGGCGUGGCUGGCAGGAGCUGCCGGGAAGUGCUGCGGAAGGGCUGCCUCCGCUUCCAGCUACCUGAGCGCGGCUCCCGGCUGUGCCUGUACGAGGAUGGCACGGAGCUGACCGAGGACUACUUCCCCAGCAUCCCCGAUGACACCGAGCUGGUGCUGCUCACCUCGGGCCAGGCCUGGCAGGGCUAUGUGAGUGACAUCAGGCGCUUCCUCAGUGCGUUUCACGAGCCGCACGCGGGCCUCAUCCAGGCCGCCCAGCAGCUGCUGUGUGAUGAGCAGGCCCCGCAGAGGCAGAGGCUGCUGGCUGACCUCCUACACAACGUCAGCCAGAACAUCGCGGCUGAGACCCGGGCUGAGGACCCGCCGUGGUUUGAAGGCUUGGAGUCCCGAUUUCAGAGCAAGUCUGGCUAUCUGAGAUACAGCUGUGAGAGCCGGAUCCGGAGCUACCUGAGAGAAGUGAGCUCCUACCCCUCCAUGGUGGGUGCGGAGGCUCAGGAGGAAUUCCUGCGGGUCCUCGACUCCAUGUGCCAGAAGCUCCGGUCUGUGCAGUACAACGGUAGCUACUUCGACAGAGGAGCCAAGGGUGGCAGCCGUCUCUGCACGCCGGAAGGCUGGUUCUCCUGCCAGGGUCCCUUUGACAUGGACAGCUGCUUGUCGAGACACUCCAUCAACCCCUACAGCAACAGGGAGAGCAGGAUCCUCUUUGGUACCUGGAACCUGGAUCACAUCAUAGAAAAAAAACGUGCCAUCAUUCCUACACUGGUGGAAGCAAUUAAGGGACAAGACGGAAGAGAAGUGGACUGGGAGUAUUUUUAUGGCCUGCUUUUUACCUCAGAGAACCUAAAAUUAGUGCACGUUGUCUGCCAUAAGAAAACCACCCACAAGCUCAGCUGUGACCCGAACAGAAUCUACAAACGCCAGACAAGGCUGAAGAGGAAGCAGCCCGUGCGAAAGCGCCAGUGACGUGCGCACCGUGCCCUCGUGUUUGUUGAGGCCUGACGUGGGCAUAGUUUUAACAGCCCAACUUCUAGAGGAAAGCUUUGGGGUCCUCACUGGAUGUCUGUGAGUUCCUGGUUGUACUGGUUAGUAGGGAUGAGAACAGUCUCUGCACUGAGGAAUUCUUCUGUUCUCUGGUUUUCCGGUAUUUGGUUUGCCCCUGUACUGUGGUCACCAUACUAAAACUGCGUCCUGGCUGAAGGUGGCUGCUCUUGCCUGGAGGGACUAGCUGAUUACGUGUCAGCUCUCUGCUGAGUCUCCAUUUCCAUGGCCAGUGGGCAGCUCCAUCCUUCCUGACUCUUCCAAAUGCCCAAAAGAGAGCAUCUGAGGGUAAGAUGUCUGGGGGUAAGCAUUCGAGGGUAAGAUGUAUGUUCUUCUCUAUAAAGAAUAUACAAGGACAUUCA